UCUUCCGUCAAAAGGUUGAGGUGGGGAAUUCUACCGUGAUGAAACUGUUUUCGGAAACGGAGAAACUUAUAUAAUAUAAUUUCUGAAUAAUAGUUUUAUGUAAGUUGCCGUGUAAUAUUGCAUAGUAUUUAGCAAGACUAAAAAAUGACCCUGAGAAACUACCAGACGAGAAAACAAAUCCUCGAGACAGGUGUAACCAGUUUGAAUGACCCAUCACGUGAAGGAAACUUUCAAGAGAUGCACCAGCAUAUGCAUCCCUGAAUGUGUACAGGAACUGUAACAACCAAUGAACCUUGCAACACCUGAGGGAUGACAUACGGCAUUAGAUUUACGACAACUCUGAGAUGAGUUCUGCAUUCUGUUGCACAAACUUUUGCUACUUAUGGAGAGCGUCACCUUUAAAAUGUUACUCUCCGCAGCACUGCUUUCUCACAGCUUCAGAAUCCUGACCUGCAUGCCUGUUUGGUUACUCGGUGUGGUUUGCAUGUUCUCACUCUGUGGACUUCAGUUUUUUUGCGGUUCUCUGAUCCCCUUACUAUUACACAGUGAGCAGGGCAGGAAGAUCUUGACUUGGAGCAAGAACCAGUAUACAUGCCUCCACUACACACUCCAUUUCUUCCUCCUCUGCCAGGUUUAUUACGCUCAUCACAAUGGAUAAGACAAACCAGAGCAAUGAAGACAGCACAUCGAUUAACUGCAUAAAACCUUUAUUUUCUUUUUGUCAAUUGGCAGUAAAUGGAAUUCCUUUUUUGGUCCUCUAA
Molecule: long non-coding RNA, 761 nt
Organism: Polypterus senegalus (gray bichir)
Lineage: Eukaryota; Metazoa; Chordata; Cladistia; Polypteriformes; Polypteridae
Exons: 4
Source: RefSeq, a predicted model, not a curated record